Molecule: ribosomal RNA, 496 nt
Filed under: uncultured bacterium
Lineage: Bacteria
Description: partial 16S ribosomal RNA
Rfam family: Bacterial small subunit ribosomal RNA
Source: RNAcentral
GAUGAACGCUGGCGGCGUGCCUAAUACGUGCAAGUCGAGCGAACAGAUAAGGAGCUUGCUCCUUUGACGUUAGCGGCGGACGGGUGAGUAACACGUGGGUAACCUACCUAUAAGACUGGGAUAACUUCGGGAAACCGGAGCUAAUACCGGAUAAUAUUUCGAACCGCAUGGUUCGAUAGUGAAAGAUGGUUUUGCUAUCACUUAUAGAUGGACCCGCGCCGUAUUAGCUAGUUGGUAAGUUAACGGCUUACCAAGGCGACGAUACGUAGCCGACCUGAGAGGGGGAAGCGCCACACAGGAGCUGAGCCGCGACACAGGCACCGACGGGAGGCAGAAGCUGGUACUGUACGGAGAAGGGCGAAAGCCUGAAGGAGGGACGCAGCGUGGAUGCAGCAGGGCUUCGGGUCGUAAACUGUCUUAUUAGGGAAGAACAUACGUGUAAGUAACUGUGCACGUCUUGACGGUAACUAAUCAGAAAGCAACGGCUAACUACGUG